AGGAUAAUAGUUAAAUUAACAUUUAAAUUGCAAUUAAAAAAUAUUGAAUAUCAAUUUAUCUUA
Molecule: transfer RNA, 63 nt
Filed under: Sinoluperus subcostatus
Lineage: Eukaryota; Metazoa; Arthropoda; Insecta; Coleoptera; Chrysomelidae
Description: tRNA-Ala
Source: RNAcentral